AGAGUUUGAUCCUGGCUCAGGAUGAACGCUGGCGGCAUGCCUAACACAUGCAAGUCGAUCGGUAAGGCUCUUCGGAGUACACGAGAGGCGGACGGCUGAGUAACGCGUAGGAACACACCCUGCAGUGAGGGAUAAGACACCGAAAGGUGUUCUAAUACCGCAUACGGUCUUCGGAUUAAAGCAUUUAUGCGCUGAAGGAGUGGCCUGCGUCAUAUUAGAUAGUUGGUGAGGUAAUGGCUUACCAAGUCGAUGAUGUGUAGCUGGUCUGAGAGGAUGAUCAGCCAGACUGGAACUGAGACACGGUCCAGACUCCUACGGGAGGCAGCAGUGAGGAAUAUUUCACAAUGAGCGAAAGCUUGAUGGAGCAAUGCCGCGUGCAGGAUGAAGGCCCUCGGGUUGUAAACUGCUUUUAUAAGAGAAGAUUAUGACGGUAACUUAUGAAUAAGGGACGGCUAACUACGUGCCAGCAGCCGCGGUCAUACGUAGGUCCCGAGCGUUAUCCGGAGUGACUGGGCGUAAAGAGUUGCGUAGGCGGUCAAGUUAGCGAGCGAUGAAAACUAUCGGCUCAACCGAUAGCUUGUUGUUCGAACUGCUUGACUCGAGAGUAUCAGAGGUCGCUGGAAUUCCUAGUGUAGCAGUGAAAUGCGUAGAUAUUAGGAAGAACACCAAUGGCGUAGGCAGGCGACUGGGAUAUUUCUGACGCUAAGGCACGAAAGCGUGGGUAGCGAACCGGAUUAGAUACCCGGGUAGUCCACGCCGUAAACGAUGGAUGCUAAUUGUUUGAGGUAUCGACCCCUCGAGUAAUAAAGCUAACGCGUUAAGCAUCCCGCCUGUGGAGUACGGCCGCAAGGCUAAAACAUAAAGGAAUUGACGGGGAC
Molecule: ribosomal RNA, 878 nt
Filed under: uncultured Candidatus Saccharibacteria bacterium
Lineage: Bacteria; Candidatus Saccharimonadota
Description: bacterial SSU rRNA
Rfam family: Bacterial small subunit ribosomal RNA
Source: RNAcentral